AACGAACGCUGGCGGCAGGCUUAACACAUGCAAGUCGAGCGCCUCGCAAGAGGAGCGGCAGACGGGUGAGUAACGCGUGGGAACGUACCCUUAUCUUCGGAAUAGCUCUGGGAAACUGGAAGUAAUACCGAAUGUGCCCUUAGGGGGAAAGAUUUAUCGGAUAAGGAUCGGCCCGCGUUGGAUUAGCUAGUUGGUGGGGUAAAGGCCUACCAAGGCGACGAUCCAUAGCUGGUCUGAGAGGAUGAUCAGCCACAUUGGGACUGAGACACGGCCCAAACUCCUACGGGAGGCAGCAGUGGGGAAUAUUGGACAAUGGGCGCAAGACUGAUCCAGCCAUGCCGCGUGAGUGAUGAAGGACUUAGGGUUGUAAAGCUCUUUCAACGGAGAAGAUAAUGACGGUAUCCGGAGAAGAAGCCCCGGCUAACUUCGUG
RNAcentral lists this ribosomal RNA (431 nucleotides) under uncultured bacterium. RNAcentral describes it as "partial 16S ribosomal RNA". It matches the Rfam family "Bacterial small subunit ribosomal RNA", at positions 29 to 507 of the family's 1533-position model. The record is from RNAcentral.